Molecule: ribosomal RNA, 492 nt
Filed under: uncultured bacterium
Lineage: Bacteria
Description: partial 16S ribosomal RNA
Rfam family: Bacterial small subunit ribosomal RNA
Source: RNAcentral
AGUGAACGCUGGCGGUAUGCCUAACACAUGCAAGUCGAACGGCAGCACAGUAAGAGCUUGCUCUUACGGGUGGCGAGUGGCGGACGGGUGAGGAAUACAUCGGAAUCUACUUUUUCGUGGGGGAUAACGUAGGGAAACUUACGCUAAUACCGCAUACGACCUACGGGUGAAAGCAGGGGAUCUUCGGACCUUGCGCGAUUGAAUGAGCCGAUGUCGGAUUAGCUAGUUGGCGGGGUAAAGGCCCACCAAGGCGAUGAUCCGUAGCUGGUCUGAGAGGAUGAUCAGCCACACUGGAACUGAGACGCGGUCCAGACUCCUACGGGAGGCAGCAGUGGGGAAUAUUGGACAAUGGGCGCAAGCCUGAUCCAGCCAUACCGCGUGGGUGAAGAAGGCCUUCGGGUUGUAAAGCCCUUUUGUUGGGAAAGAAAAGCAGCAGGUUAAUACCCCGCUGUUCUGACGGUACCCAAAGAAUAAGCACCGGCUAACUUCGUG